UCCGAGUUGACCCCGGCAGUCUCCCAUGAGUCCCCACCAUCACGUGCUGGCAACAUGGAACGAGGGUUGCGCUCGUUGCGGGACUUAACCCAACAUCUCACGACACGAGCUGACGACAACCAUGCACCACCUGUGCACCAGCCCAAAGGGAACACCCAUCUCUGGAUGCGCCUGGCGCAUGUCAAGCCUUGGUAAGGUUCUUCGCGUUGCAUCGAAUUAAUCCGCAUGCUCCGCCGCUUGUGCGGGCCCCCGUCAAUUCCUUUGAGUUUUAGCCUUGCGGCCGUACUCCCCAGGCGGGGCGCUUAAUGCGUUAGCUGCGGCACGGAGCUCGUGAACCAAGCCCCACACCUAGCGCCCAACGUUUACGGCAUGGACUAC
This 378-nucleotide unclassified non-coding RNA is filed under the name uncultured Micrococcales bacterium. Its description in RNAcentral is "contains 16S-23S intergenic spacer region". The record is from RNAcentral. Lineage: Bacteria; Bacillati; Actinomycetota; Actinomycetes; Micrococcales.